AGCGAACGCUGGCGGCAGGCCUAACACAUGCAAGUCGAACGAAGUCUUCGGACUUAGUGGCAGACGGGUGAGUAACGCGUGGGAAUCUUCCCAAAGGUACGGAACAACUCAGGGAAACUUGAGCUAAUACCGUAUGUGCCCGAGAGGGCAAAGAUUUAUCGCCUUUGGAUGAGCCCGCGUUGGAUUAGCUAGUUGGUGGGGUAAUGGCCUACCAAGGCGACGAUCCAUAGCUGAUCUGAGAGGAUGAUCAGCCACACUGGGACUGAGACACGGCCCAGACUCCUACGGGAGGCAGCAGUGGGGAAUCUUGGACAAUGGGCGAAAGCUUGAUCCAGCCAUGCCGCGUGAGUGAAGAAGGCCUUAGGGUUGUAAAGCUCUUUUGCCCGGGAAGAUAAUGACGGUACCGGGAGAAUAAGCCCCGGCAAACUUCGUGCCAGCCGCCGCGGUAA
RNAcentral lists this ribosomal RNA (449 nucleotides) under uncultured bacterium. RNAcentral's name for it is "partial 16S ribosomal RNA". It matches the Rfam family "Bacterial small subunit ribosomal RNA", at positions 29 to 523 of the family's 1533-position model. The record is from RNAcentral.